RNAcentral lists this ribosomal RNA (373 nucleotides) under uncultured bacterium. RNAcentral's name for it is "bacterial SSU rRNA". It matches the Rfam family "Bacterial small subunit ribosomal RNA", at positions 523 to 898 of the family's 1533-position model. The record is from RNAcentral.
AUACGGAAGGUCCAGGCGUUAUCCGGAUUUAUUGGGUUUAAAGGGAGCGUAGGCUGCCCCUCAAGCGUGUUGUGAAAUGUACCGGCUCAACCGGUGAAUUGCAGCGCGAACUGUGGGGCUUGAGUGUGCGGAAAGUAGGCGGAAUUCAUGGUGUAGCGGUGAAAUGCUUAGAUAUCAUGAAGAACUCCGAUUGCGAAGGCAGCUUACUGCAGCACAACUGACGCUGAGGCUCGAAAGUGCGGGUAUCGAACAGGAUUAGAUACCCUGGUAGUCCGCACGGUAAACGAUGGAUGCCCGCUGUUCGCCCAUUAGGGUGAGCGGCCAAGCGAAAGCGUUAAGCAUCCCACCUGGGGAGUACGCCGGCAACGGUGAA